RNAcentral lists this non-coding RNA (211 nucleotides) under Bacillus sp. (in: firmicutes). RNAcentral's name for it is "Bacillus sp. GlcN6P sequence". It matches the Rfam family "glmS glucosamine-6-phosphate activated ribozyme aptamer". Rfam says of the family: This entry contains a glucosamine-6-phosphate activated ribozyme that is found in the mRNA for GlmS. GlmS is an enzyme that uses fructose-6-phosphate and glutamine to generate glucosamine-6-phosphate. The ribozyme catalyses self cleavage of the glmS mRNA that is thought to regulate GlmS activity. Lineage: Bacteria; Bacillati; Bacillota; Bacilli; Caryophanales; Bacillaceae. The record is from RNAcentral. RNAcentral also lists the same sequence under 1 other name.
UAAGCAAGUUAAGCGCCAGAGCUUGCGUGAUGAACGAUCUGUUGUAGAGCUGGGAAGAAAAGCUUGAAGCGGGUGUUCAUACGGGAAGCUGACGAGGUGAAGGUGUUCGAAACAUUCGGCGGGGACCUUCCGGUAUUUGCAAGCCAACCGAAAGCUGUUACGUAAAACGGCCGGGCGACCGGUCAUACAAUCGUGCAGCAGGCUGCUUAUU